AUAAUUAUUGUUACCAUAAUAAUAUAAAUAACUUACAAAUAUAAAUACUACAUGUGUGUAUAUUUUAUUUGAAUAGAAAAUGAUUAGUUAAUUGUUUUGCUCUAGGUUGGAAAAAAUACAAAUAAAAUAUAAUAAAAACGAAGUAUCAACUUAACUAACUGAGUCUCCGUUUUCAGUGUAGGGUGCCGCAGCGCUGCUCUUAUUAAUUGAGUGAACAUGUCCAUUUUAGGACAAAACGUCAGAAGAGCAACGUAACCUGACGUAAGAGGAAAAAACGUAAGGGUUACAAAAACCAUGCGGUUGCAACAUGUUCGGUGCAAGCGAGAUGCCAACAGGAUUAGGCGCAACAGGCUGGCGAGCUGUGGGCGGAAGCGAGAUGGCUCUACCAACCAACGAGGGCUAAUAGAAAUGCGACAACAAAUAUCAAGAACCGGGGCGUGUGAGAGUGAACGGGAGAGCGAGAGACGGGGGAACAGCUGUGUGCGACGCAACACGUUGGACGUCGCGCUGCCAACGUUUCGACGUAAAGCGCUAAACCUAAACGACAUCUUCUAUAUAGUUCGCUAAAUCUGAACGUUAGUACACAAGUCUCCGGGCAGAGGUUCGCUCUCAUCCCGAAUAACAGCGCUCUGUUAGCGGCGUCGAACAUCUAGCAUAGCGUCGGCAGAAUUCCGGGCAGAGCGAAAACGAAGACAUAGUUUCCCCAAAUCUGAACGUUAUUAUGAAUACAGUUGAUCGUGGGCCUCGUGUGCCAAUGGACGUAAGGUCCAGGAAAAUAGAAACAAAAAGUAGAAAUAAAAACACACAAAGAAAAUAGAAACCAGUAAACAGCCCAAAUAAACCACAAAAAAACCUGAACCCUUGAGGAAAUCAAAAGUCAAGAGGAGCGGACAAGUGCAACGCCCAAAACUCGGUCAAGUGUUAAGAGAAAUUCCAAAUAAGUUCUUCUAAUGAAUUCUAAUUCGUGACGAGUGUGUGUGUGCGGAUCGGGAGCCAACCGAUAUUUUUAACACCUUCUACCGGGUUUUACGCGUGUUUCACACAUUUCCAGCACCGACGGAUCCGGCGAUCCAAUCAUUCACCCAACUCUCAGAAAAAAAAUAGAAGAAAGAAAUAAACGCGCGAAUUAAAGCCCGGCUGCCAGAACUUUUACACGUGUUUCGAUCGCUUACUCACUUAUUCAACAGUAUGCCCAAAAAUUAAAGGCAAUUAAGCAAAUUUACCACGAUUGAUUAACAUUAAAAUUAGGCAAUGCCAAACGAAAUGUGUUAAUAAAAGCCGCAGCCAAAAAAGAACACAAAGAAUUCCUGUAAUCGUUGAUUUUGUAAUCACAAAGGGCCCAAGGAAAAUCCAAGCCGCCAAGGUAACAGGUGGCAGCUUAACUUAAUCAAAGAAAAAGCUUGAAGGAAAAAAUUGUAAAUGGGUAAAUUAUUAAACUGUUCUUAACUCAGAAAUCUAACCAAAAAAAAUCUGUAAACAUAUUCUUAUCUUAAAAGAAUAGAAUUGUUAAGUCUUUGUUUUCAUUUUUUUUAAACUAUAGAUUGAUACAUAUUAAUUUUUAAAAGACACGAUAACUGUUUUAAGCUGAUCGCUUAAUUUUGUAUAUGUAUUAAAAGUUUCGAGUAAUGUACCGGAACAACGUGGAAAUUGGUAAUCCCGCCAAAUUCGUCUAUUUAAUUUUAGGUAUAGAAGAAAAAAGAAAUUUUGAGUUCAUGGAAAGUUUUAAUUAAAUUGUUAAAUGGUUCGAAGUUAAUUUCUGACACAGUAUAAAAAUUAGAUAAAAGCUCGUGGUUUUUAGCAAUGAUAAACCUCCAAAAAUUCUUUCAUUGCAAAUACAUUUUAUCUUAUAGAGGUAAAACUAUAGUAAGCAGGAUUUUCUAAACAUAUAACAUUACACUAUUGUAUAUCGCUUGAAUAUCAAAUUAUUAAAAUAAAAAGAUAAUAUGGUCAGAAAUUAAAAAAUCUAAAAUCAUUUGUAAGAUUUUCAAGCCCCUCUUUUUUAUACGUAGCUCAGUUUCAAUUUGAUUAAUCAAUGAAAGCCACUAAAAGUAAAAAGAGGCGGGAAAUCAAAGCAGUGGGUGGUGAAAGGGGCGGUUAGCGGAGGGGGCGUGGCGGCUAAUUGAUAGGAGAAAGAGCGGCGACAGCGACGCCAAGAAACCGUUACAAUGUAUGCGACAAAGGAAUGUGUCACAGUUAAAAAUCAAAUCACACGUAUACGUAUACGUAAUGAGAAAAGCAGCAACGCAACAACCUCGCGGUCUUUGCAACAUGUUUGAAGCAGCGCUGCCUACGUCGCUGCUAGCUGAAGAUCGCGGCUAGAGAUGGUCGCGUGCCACUGUACGAUUCAUUUCAACUUGUUAUCUCCUUCACUUAGUUACAAACAUCUGACCUCAAAUUAAAAGCCUUUCCUUUUUACAUUGAAUGCUUUAUAGACUUUAACAAAAUCUUGUUAAAAUAUAAAAAAAUAAUAUAAUUUAAAUAAAACAAUUUAAUUUUAGAUUUCUCUUUUGAAAAGAAUCUUGACUACAUUUCACUAUACAAAAAAGGAUGACACUCACGAACCCGAAAAUGAUUAAAUUGAGACACACGUGGUCACGCGUGUCUUCGUGUCACGCUCGAAAAAACGCUUCCAUCUCUAACCGCGGGCAGCUCAGCCGACGGCAAAACACAACUCGCCGGCGUCGCAGCUUUCAAUUCUUUUUUGGUGCUCGAUCGUGACGGUUUGUUCGCUCUGCUCUGCUCUGCUCUCUUCGGUUGCAUGUGUGUGUGCGGGCGUUAUUGUGCAUGUUUCCGGUGGCCGAAAAAAUAAAAUAAAAUAAAAUAAAAAAUCAAGAAUAACAACGGCCACACGAUACACAGUGUCGCAGUGUGUGUAUGUGUGUGCAUCUCGCGUAACAAUAAUAAUUGCAUUUAUCGGAUGGCGCCAGCUUCAAUUCAAUUAUAAAUAACAUGUACAACUUUAUUACGUUUUUUCCUGCGUCAAAGUAGGCGUUAUAUACGCCCCGGACAAUCACGCGCGCCGGUUCAAAGUUAAAGUUUAUUGGGUAACACACACACACACUUAAAUCAUCUAAUGGAGCCUGGCUUUGUUUUUGUUUUUUUGUCAUCCCACUUGAAAACAGAGAAAAAAAAUCAAUACUCGUUAUGGGAUUAAAUUUACAAAGCGGGAAAGAGAACGUCAACCAAAAAACACAAAAAAAACAUGUAAAUCAACUCGCAACGAAUUUCUUAUCGCCAAGGGGCCAAUGUUCCAAGGUUUUCUUUUGGAACUUUGAGCUUCCUCUGCAAGUGGAGAUUAUAAAACUGUAAAAAUAAGGAAAACCUAUACAAAUGGGAUACCCUAAACUUGCUAAUUAGCAAGGACAUCUGUUCACAUCUUACCGGGCAGCAUUAGAUCCUUUUGAUAACUCUAAUACUGUCAGGUAAAGAUGUCGUCCGUGUCCUUAACCUUCAGUACGAACAGACCAAAAACCAAAACCAAACAAAUCAUAAAAAUUGCAGGAAAAACAAGUUUUUCAAUUGUGCCUCGGAUCGGGGAAAAAAGAUCGGAAGGAUGGGAUGAGCGCUGAAAAGGAGUGGAUAAUGCGGAGACAAGCGGCAGAAAAUUGGUCAUAAAUUCUUAUUUUUUGCAGCGGCAGAACGACGCGUUUUGGGAUGACAUCAGUUGAAAAUAUAAAAACGAGAGGCGGCGAGAUCGUUCCCAAUUCCCAUUUCACCAUUCCCGGACCCCGGCGGAGUCUGCAGGUAACCACUAUAAUGGCUAUGGGUAUAGUGUACAUAUAGAGAAAGACUGAGAGAACGUAUAAAAAAACAUAUUUUAUGGUUCCGCUCGCCGCCGCGGCGGCUGCUGCUCGCCAGUUUCUUAAUUUCAUCGCAGCAGCAGUAUUUAGUGACAAAAAGCGUCUUCUUUUAUGAUACCUCUCCGUAAAUCUCCCCCUCUAUAUCCACAAAUUUACGAUUAUAGUCAACUAGGCAAGGCAGCAGGUUGAGUUAAGUUUCAUUUCGUUUCGCCUUUUUUUUCCCCUCUUUCGGGGCCGUUAAAUGCUCAUAAUUUGAAAUUAGAGAAAUAUGAAAUAAGAAAUAAGAAACCGCAGCCAAAAGCUUGCCAUAAUCAAACAAUUAAAUGCUUAUAAAUCGCCGAAACGUGAUCGGGGAAAACGCAGCUCAGUUAAUAUGAUUUAUACGAGGACAUGUGCUUGCGGUUAGAGUAAUUGGUCGGAACUGCAAAUUGUAUUCAAGAAAAUUAUCGCACCUGAUGGACAUUAACUAUAAGAUUUAAUUAAGAGGCAAGACCACAGAAGGCUAAGGCUUAUUAAUGAAAUAAACUAGCCAACUAGAAUUAAGAUGAAUUAAGUUUUUGAAUGUAUACGUUUUAAUGAACACGACUACUUAAAGUGUUUUCUCUUAUUGAUUUAUUAGUUGUGUCAUAUUUCACAGAUAAUAAUAUUUUUUACUUAACAGUCUUAUAGUUAAAAAAGAGUGAGAAAUUAAAAACAAUCGUCGAAGAGUAAUCAUCAUACACCAAUAUUUUCAUAAAGCAUUUGCUGUAUUUCCUUACAACUUAAAUUGCAUUCACAAAAUCAUCCUUAUCUCUUAAAUCAUUUAGUUUAGCCUUCCCUAUUUCAUCCUCUUAUGUCAUUCACUCAGUUUCUUGCAUUCAAAGUUAUUGAUAAGACUCCACUAGACCUAGACAUGAUAACAGCCUGCAAGCUGAUCCCCCCUAGAGAUUGUACUAAAGGCCUCAAAUUUAUCUUUAUCUCUCUUUUUUCGUGACAGCAUCAAUCCGUUGAGUCUGUAAUAACAGACAAAACAAAUACAAAUUCCAGCGAGUGCCACCUGGCAAACAAGCGACUUAAUUGUCAAGAGUGUCCAGAGUCACAGGCAAGCCUAUAUUUAUACGAUUAUAUAUGAUAUGUGGUUAAGGCCCACACACGAGAGACUCUGUUUAUAUAGAGACCAGAAAACAGAGAACAGAGAACAGCGACCAGAGACCAGACCUCCACCGACAACAGAGAGAUAUAUGACGCAAGGCCCAAGACUCGAAGGAAUAUAGGGAUCGUAAAAGCGUUUACAGGGCUUUUAAAUUUUACAGUUUCUUGCCCCAGUGGGUAUAGUUUCUGGUUUCCAGGCCGCCGAUGGGGUGGCGGGGGGUUAAUCUAAUCAGGAAAACGAAAAAUGCGUUUGUCGCGGUCUAGCCUGGUCUAAACGAUCCCCAAAGGGCGGAACGACCAACGUAACCAGAACGAAUAUAACACCUGUUAAUGAACUCAGCACUGACUCUAAUGAAAUGUGUAUAUAUGUACCUCCUGCUUGAACCUCCCAACUCCUUUCCUCUUGUGUUGUUGCCCUGGUUGUGAAGUGUCGUAAAAGUGUAAGCCCAUUCUGACUGUUUCAAUGGAAGGCUGCAUAAAUCAAUUAAAUCCACGGGAUUCAAAAGCCCUCCCUUGAAUAAUGCAUAACUAGUUGAUCCACUGAGUAAUAUAUUCCACAUUAGAGUUCGUAGUAAUACGACCCAAGGUAGUGAAUCACACAUAUCAAAGAGCAUUGUCUGUUUAGAGCCACUGAAUGGGUGUUAUUUUAAAAUGUUAUAAAUAAAACUAUAUGGCAUAUCCAGCCACAGAAGAAAUUUAUUUCAUAAUUCCAUAGAAAAAUCCAACGGUCAAAUAAACUAAUAAAAACUGCACAGUCAGCAAUCGUGUGACAAUUUCACAAGCAACAACUAAUUGCUGCCUAGUGUUAGAAUGUGUGUGUGUGUUGGCCAAUCUACAAUUUAAAUCGGCCAAUAGAAGGUCCAGUUUUGAUAGGGAAGCACUUCACAAUGGCUGUGCCGAUGGCGCAAGUGUUAAUCGCAAUAGCGACGAGAACACUUGAUAUCCACAUGGAUCCACUCUAAACGAUAAUGUCGCGUUCACACCACACGGUCCCAGAACACCCCCCACUUGAGCUGCGCAAAAAAAAAAACAAUAACGAUCGAUUGAAAGUCAGACAUAGCAAAGCCAAGCUAGACAAUCGAUUCUGUCAGUGGCCAGGGGCUAAAAUGUUGAAAUUAAUUUCAUAUGGCCGCAUAUCUCACCGCCGACAUCUGAUUUGUGUUGGCCAGGUGUGUGUUGGGCUCGGCCCAUUGAUAUUUCGUUUCUAAUUAUUUGUAACUGAUUGAAAAACUAAUCAACGCUGACCAAUAAAAGUUUACACGAAUAGGAUGGGGCUCUAAACUUACCGACUUUACUUUACUAAUCAGCUUUAGCCCAUAAAAUUCUCCAAAGGCUUGUGGGAAAGGGCGUUGAGCAAGGUUUCUUUGCUCAGUUCCAACUGCUUUCAGAAAUCGGAAGAAGAAAAGUCCUAAGCGUCAUCGAAUCUAAGUACUUCAUAUGGUAUAUGGAGAGCUACUAUAUCUAAUCAAACGUCAAGCCGGGUGUAUCUAAUCAAGUGCGGGAGGAGAGUAUCUAAUCGUCUAGGAGAUACUAUAAGUGGACAGCCAGCAUUAUAUAUACAUGGAUUUUUUUUUUUUUUACCGGGGAUUAGGUUAUUCUUAAGGAAAAAAACUAUUUUAUAUAAAGGUGAUAUUGUUUUGGUGGGAUCUUUAAGUUAAAGUAAAUAAAAGUAAACUUUGGUAUACAAAAAUAUUUUAUAAGCAUAAAUUAAAGUUCUAUAAAUCAAUUUUCAAGAAAAAUUAUUAUUGUAGUCCCAAUUUCACAUUUAAAUCUGUAAAUAAAACUACUUUAUAUGCACAUACCAAUUUCUGUGUUUGUCUUUCAAUCAUCAAUACCUUCCACAGCAACAGGGAAAGGGAAUGGAAAAAAAAAGAUUGUGCUUGGCCACUGGAAAUGGGCUCAAAUCAAAAUAUUGAGCAUGAUUUAUAAAUUACGGGCUGUAGCAUAAUACGCCUUGACAUGAUAAUAAAAGCGAUUCGAAUGGGGAACAUAAUGACAGCAAAGAGACGAUGAACUGCAGCGAUAAAGGGGUAUAGGCUUAAGAAGGGGGCAACGAAUGGGCGUAAAUCAAUUAACAGCUAACAAAGCAAUCAAGCUGUAUUAAUAAUAUCGAAGAGGCAGUUUCAUAAAUGACUUGUGCAAAGUCAUGCCCUGUCACUCCUUGAAUUGAUUGUGUCAAAGCCAAUAGGGAACUCCCGAAAAUGCAUUCGAUAGUCCAAUUGAACAUAAUUAUUUCUCACUCUUCAGAUGCUGGAUGUCUCCAACUAAUGAACUUACCAUGUUGGUAGAAGAUUGUUGCUCGAAGAUUGGUAACUGGAGUGCCGCUGAAAAUCAACUCUUGUUCGGCUCUUUCAACUCCGGAUUUUUACUCUUCUCUGUGCAUUAAUUAGUUAUACACUAAUUUCCAAUUCCGAUUUCAGUCAUGCAAAUGUUAAUUGACCACUUAAGUUAAAACUUCAUAAUGAUCGUUAAUAAUACCGAAUGGGGCAGCAGCAGCGAAGAAGCGUGGCUACGGUAACUGUGGCCGAAAGAACAGGUUCAAAACCCUAACUAGCCAAGUCCAAAACUCGUAAAAGAUAUGCAACCAAUACCAAUGCCAAUACCCACAAGUGGCAGCGAUAUUAAAACCUUUUGCGACUCCGCUGACGAUGCGAUCUUGUGAAACCCGAACCCAAACCCCUUUCGAAGCCACGGGCUCUUAACUGUGCAUUAAUGAUCUUCUCAGCCAGCUCAUUUAUAUACUUUAACCAGCGACAAGUCGGAAUCUCUGGGCUUAAAUAAUUUGUUACUUUGGUGUAAGAAAUAACACAAGUUGGCAAAGCUGUGUGCUUAAGGACUUGCUUGAGUUUUUAGAUCAUGCUGCAUGCAAUAUAAAUUAUUUGUCUUCGAGGUGGCAAUUCUAAAAAACAUGCUCAAAUUAAACUAGGAAUUAUAAAGUUUAUCUAAGUUAUUUUUUGUAAACAAUUUUUCAGGCUUUUAAAAGCAGUUGAAAAACAUGAAUUUUUUGUAUACAUCAUGUAUGUAAGUUAUCUUCUUUACAGUAGUUUUUUCGUAUUUAAUAAGUCUUAUUUUUGGUCCCUGCUAUUAACUAUAAUGACUAAUGAGCUAUAUUUUAUUACUUGCGUUUCGCAUUUAAUUUGGAAUACUCAAUUGAAUUCCCAACAGUUAUCUAAAUUGAUCAAGAAGUGGAACUCGAAGUGCAAGCUCAUGGCUCAUAAUCAAGGGCAUGAAGGCUAUUUCCUGCUGGCCCAACUUGAUUGCACUGAUUGCCGGCACCGACAGGUAAAUCCGAAAAGAAGGAGAGUCCAGAGACUCCAGAGACUCCAGACGGGUGACUCGUGCCGCAGAAACAAUGCCUCAAGGAGCGGUCUCCCAGUGUCUAGUUGCCAGUUUUGCUGCAGCUAGCGCAACUAACUCAGCGCCCCUUGGCCACAGGUAAUUGAACGCUGGCCCCCCUCCACCAAAUUCACCUGAGCUACUGUUUCCAUCCCAUGGCACGCCUGCUCUUUAGCGAAGGUCUACAGUGCACAGAAAAAAAAUUCCCACCUCCUAAUUUACAGUCUUUUCUUAUGAUUAACGUUACGUUACUUCUUUAUAUAACCACAAAGAUCCUAAUCAAUAAAAAGUUUAUUAUAUCUGCGUAUAAAA
Long non-coding RNA from Drosophila elegans, 8579 nucleotides. RefSeq lists it as uncharacterized. NCBI's taxonomy places the organism in Eukaryota, Metazoa, Arthropoda, Insecta, Diptera, Drosophilidae. The record is from RefSeq and is a predicted model, not a curated record. The transcript is spliced from 2 exons.